This 497-nucleotide ribosomal RNA is filed under the name uncultured bacterium. RNAcentral's name for it is "partial 16S ribosomal RNA". It matches the Rfam family "Bacterial small subunit ribosomal RNA", at positions 28 to 507 of the family's 1533-position model. The record is from RNAcentral.
GACGAACGCUGGCGGCGUGCCUAAUACAUGCAAGUAGAACGCUGAAGAGAGGAGCUUGCUCUUCUUGGAUGAGUUGCGAACGGGUGAGUAACGCGUAGGUAACCUGCCUUGUAGCGGGGGAUAACUAUUGGAAACGAUAGCUAAUACCGCAUAACAAUGGAUGACACAUGUCAUUUAUUUGAAAGGGGCAAUUGCUCCACUACAAGAUGGACCUGCGUUGUAUUAGCUAGUAGGUGAGGUAAUGGCUCACCUAGGCGACGAUACAUAGCCGACCUGAGAGGGUGAUCGGCCACACUGGGACUGAGACACGGCCCAGCCUCCUACGGGAGGCAGCAGUAGGGAAUCUUCGGCGAUGGGGGCAACCCUGACCGAGCAACGCCGCGUGAGUGAAGAAGGUUUUCGGAUCGUAAAGCUCUGUUGUAAGUCAAGAACGGGUGUGAGAGUGGAAAGUUCACACUGUGACGGUAGCUUACCAGAAAGGGACGGCUAACUACGUG